GUGGUAAUGCCGGAUGCUCCGACUCCUCGCAUGGGGUGUCGGGAAAGAUUUCAUCGGUAUGGGAUGGGGUCGCGUCCUAUCAGGUAGUCGGCGGGGUAACGGCCCACCGAGCCUACGACGGGUAGCCGGCCUGAGAGGGCGACCGGCCACAUUGGGACUGAGAUACGGCCCAGACUCCUACGGGAGGCAGCAGUGGGGAAUAUUGCACAAUGGGCGCAAGCCUGAUGCAGCGACGCCGCGUGCGGGAUGACGGCCUUCGGGUUGUAAACCGCUUUUGAUCGGGAGCAAGCCUUCGGGUGAGUGUACCUUUCGAAUAAGCACCGGCUAACUACGUGCCAGCAGCCGCGGUAAUACGUAGGGUGCAAGCGUUAUCCGGAAUUAUUGGGCGUAAAGGGCUCGUAGGCGGUUCGUCGCGUCCGGUGUGAAAGUCCAUCGCUUAACGGUGGAUCUGCGCCGGGUACGGGCGGGCUGGAGUGCGGUAGGGGAGACUGGAAUUCCCGGUGUAACGGUGGAAUGUGUAGAUAUCGG
This 528-nucleotide ribosomal RNA is filed under the name Bifidobacterium catenulatum. RNAcentral describes it as "bacterial SSU rRNA". It matches the Rfam family "Bacterial small subunit ribosomal RNA", at positions 160 to 700 of the family's 1533-position model. Lineage: Bacteria; Bacillati; Actinomycetota; Actinomycetes; Bifidobacteriales; Bifidobacteriaceae. The record is from RNAcentral. RNAcentral also lists the same sequence under 1 other name.